GAUGAAGAACGUAGCGAAAUGCGAUAAGUAAUGUGAAUUGCAGAAUUCAGUGAAUCAUCGAAUCUUUGAACGCACAUUGCGCCCGCCAGUAUUCUGGCGGGCAUGCCCGUUCGAGCGUCAUUUCAACCCUCAGGCCCCCAGUGCCUGGUGUUGGGGAUCGGCCCAGCCUUCCUGUAAGGCCGCCGGCCCCGAAAUCUAGUGGCGGUCUCGCUGUAGUCCUCCUCUGCGUAGUAGCACAACCUCGCAGUUGGAACGCGGCGGUGGCCAUGCCGUUAAACACCCCACUUCUGAAAGUUGACCUCGGAUCAGGUAGGAAUACCCGCUGAACUUAAGCAUAUCAAUAAGCGGAGGA
Molecule: unclassified non-coding RNA, 352 nt
Filed under: soil metagenome
Description: partial contains 5.8S ribosomal RNA, internal transcribed spacer 2, and large subunit ribosomal RNA
Rfam family: 5.8S ribosomal RNA (bases 1-120)
Source: RNAcentral